This 484-nucleotide ribosomal RNA is filed under the name uncultured bacterium. RNAcentral's name for it is "partial 16S ribosomal RNA". It matches the Rfam family "Bacterial small subunit ribosomal RNA", at positions 30 to 507 of the family's 1533-position model. The record is from RNAcentral.
AUUGAACGCUGGCGGCAGGCCUAACACAUGCAAGUCGAGCGGAUGAAGGGAGCUUGCUCCUGGUUUCAGCGUCGGACGGUUGUGUAAUGCCUAGGAAUCUGCCUGGUAUUGGUUUAUAACGUCCUGAAACGGGCGCUACUACCGCAUACGUCCUGAUGGUGAAAGUUUUUGUUCUUCGGACCUCUCGCUUUCUGAUGAGCCUAGGUCGGAUUAGCUAGUUGGUGGGGUAAAGGCCUACCAAGGCGACGAUCCGUAACUGGUCUGAGAGGAUGAUAAGUAACACUGGAAGUGAGACACGGAACAGAGGACUACGGGAGGAAGCAGUGGGGAAUAUUGGAAAAUGGGCGAAAGCAUGAUACAGCAAGGCCGAGUGUGUGAAGAAGGUCUUCGGAGUGUAAAGAACUUUAAGUAGGGAGGAAGGGAAGUAAGAUAAUACGUAGAUGUAGUGACGUUAACAAAAGAAUAAGCACCGGCUAACUACGUG